GAUCGGAUUUAUCUAUAUGUGUUAACAUGUUGUUUUCAAAAUGUUAUUAUUAAUCAAACAAUUUUCAAGUCCAGUUUUAGUAACAAUUCUGUGGCGAUAUUUUAAAACUUCAUGAAAGGCUUUAAUUUAUCUUGUCUAUUAUUGUCCAGAUCAGGGAUACCAAGAUAUGCUGGACAAGGGUCAACAAACAAUUUAUCACACAGAGUUAUUAC
RNAcentral lists this long non-coding RNA (212 nucleotides) under Mytilus galloprovincialis (Mediterranean mussel). Lineage: Eukaryota; Metazoa; Mollusca; Bivalvia; Mytilida; Mytilidae. The record is from RNAcentral.